GGUUAACUGCAGGAGACAAACGAUGGGACUAACUCGAUCGAUGAAUGUCCUUAUGAUCUGUGCAGCGUUCGCAUUUAUCGGUGCAAUGGUCGUAGGACUAAUCCCCUGAAUCAAAGAAAGAACGCUACAAAGAUGGUCUCUGACCGUUAAGCGACUUAACAACUGGACGGCCCGGUUAUAGCAACCGGGCCGU
RNAcentral lists this small RNA (193 nucleotides) under Phyllobacterium endophyticum. RNAcentral describes it as "Rhizobiales sRNA Atu_C9". The stretch from base 1 to 94 matches the Rfam family "Rhizobiales sRNA Atu_C9". The record is from Rfam by way of RNAcentral. Lineage: Bacteria; Pseudomonadati; Pseudomonadota; Alphaproteobacteria; Hyphomicrobiales; Phyllobacteriaceae.